RNAcentral lists this ribosomal RNA (227 nucleotides) under uncultured bacterium. RNAcentral describes it as "partial 16S ribosomal RNA". It matches the Rfam family "Bacterial small subunit ribosomal RNA", at positions 107 to 334 of the family's 1533-position model. The record is from RNAcentral.
UGAGUAACACGUAUCCAACCUGCCGUCUACUCUUGGACAGCCUUCUGAAAGGAAGAUUAAUACAAGAUGGCAUCAUGAGUCCGCAUGUUCACAUGAUUAAAGGUAUUCCGGUAGACGAUGGGGAUGCGUCCCAUUAGAUAGUAGGCGGGGUAACGGCCCACCUAGUCUUCGAUGGAUAGGGGUUCUGAGAGGAAGGUCCCCCACAUUGGAACUGAGACACGGUCCAA